Long non-coding RNA from Catharus ustulatus (Swainson's thrush), 2372 nucleotides. RefSeq lists it as uncharacterized. The record is from RefSeq and is a predicted model, not a curated record. The transcript is spliced from 2 exons. NCBI's taxonomy places the organism in Eukaryota, Metazoa, Chordata, Aves, Passeriformes, Turdidae.
ACAUAAAGCAGAAGAAGUUCAGGAGGCUCUUUGAGCUGGUCCUGGGCUCCUGCAGUGACUGGGGGCUUCCCACAAACCGUGAUGCACCAAGGAAUAUCAGGAGCGUCAUAAAUAUACUCUGAGAAUGAAGAAAAAGGGAUUUGAAUUUCAACUUUGAUGCAUAAUGUGCUUUCUCUAAAAAAAAACCAACAAAAAACCAACCUUCUUGGCAGGGACCAGACAACUUCACACUAAAUCUCCUGCAGGAGCAUGUUGCCAGUUGCAGAGAUAAAACCUCAAUGAAACACAAUUAGUUUCCACUUGGAUUAGCCAAACUCGCGUCUCUCCUCCCACCCAGACACCCCGGCAGCAGGAUAGGGACCGCUCAGUGCCAGCCUCCCGUGUCCCCAGCCCUGCCGGGAACGGGACGGCUCUGCCCCGGGGGGAGGAUAACUCUCUUUUCACGGCUAAGGGGAGCUGACAAGUGAUGAAUACACGAAAGCCGGAGCGCUGCAGGGCAGCCCCUGCCAUCGCACCGAGGACGGCGGCUCAUCACGGCUGGUUUGCUGCGGUUCUCUGAGGUUUGGAGGCUGGUGGGGAGCCUGGGGCAGGGUCUCCGUGUUAUCCCCCAGCUUGGGGUUGGGGCAUGGCACUGCUGCCUCCUUUCCCAGCUCAGUCCCGAAGGAGGGAGGAGCGCGCAGAGGGGAUAUGCUGGCAGCAGAGGCUGCUGAGAGAUUUGUUCUUUAGGCAGGAAUAUCUCGAAUAUUGUAUUUUUUUUUCCUUAAGGCUUAUAAACUGGGAGGCUUUCUAGUCUUGGAGUUUUAGGCUUAAGCAUCACUCACGGUGGCAGUGUCUCACCCUUGUUUGGCCCUGACUCCUUGGUGUCACUCUAAGCCCAAACAUGUGCUUGUCACUUGUGCCGCAGCCGCAUUUUUGGAGCAGGCUCACGCCUUCAGGCUGGGUCAUGGUGCCCCAGAGCCAGGCUGGCAGGAGCAGAUCAUGGGGCAGGUAGGAAAAACAGCUCAGAGCCAUCCCUGGGACAGGAGCACUCCCCAGGCCCUGCAGGUUUUGCCCUGCCGGGAGGCAGCUAACCAAGGGACCAAGAGCUGCUGGCAGGGCUCUGAGGGGAAAUCAGCCUGUUAAUUAAGAGCUUAAUUGCCCAAUAACGAAUGGUGGACUUAGCUCAGCCUUGAAGCAGGCCAAGCGAGUGAAGUGCCCUCAGGGAGGGCCAGAGGAGGUGAGCCGAGGGCAGGCUUUGCCUUCUGCCGUAUUUGGGAAUAUUUGUAAAUCUGUACAUGGAGAGAACAGAAUCCUGCAGCCCCCUCAGUAUUUCUGUCCCUGCUGUCUCCAAGGUGGGAGGACCGGGGUGGGGGUCACUUGUCCCUCCAACAGUACAAUACCCCAGACAAGGGGUGGACAUUCCUGCUGAUGGAGGAGGGAGGGGAGUUUGCGAGCUGGAAAGGGAGAAGAAUUUCCUUGGCUUGGUGUGUUUUGCUGCAGAAAGGCGGUUUCAGCUCCAAGGAUAAAAGAAAUAAAACGCUCCUUUGCCUCCGGCCCGUGGCAGCCACCACGUCUCAGCUGUGCUCCUGGGGGACAGGACGCCUGGAUGCCCUGCGGCUGCUCCUGCCUCCUGUGAGCUUCUCUCCUUCUCUGUGUCUCCUCUCUGCAGGUUUUUGGACCCUUCCCAGAGCUGUGGCAAGGAUGGGAAAGGUGGUUUGGUGGAAGAAGCCCAGCCAGGCACUGUGGGUCUCUGUGGGGCUGGGCAAGGUGAGGUUUGGGUGCUGUUUAUAGGGGCAGUGGGAGUUCCUGUGUCCCCUGCAGGGACAGGGGGAUGGGGAUGUCCCCAUGCACUUGGCAGCCAGCCCUGCCUGUGCUCCCUCCACCAGCAGGGGAUAUUUCCUAUCUGACAGAGCAGAUGUUGGUUAGGAGCUUCCUAAGCAGUUUCUCUUCCCUCACAGAAUCGCUGCUUGGAGAGAGAAUUAAAUUCUCUUUUGUUGUCAGUUUAGAGGAGAACAAAACCAAAUGUCACCUGGAGAAAUUCUUGCUGCUGCACCCCCAGGGAACUGAACGGCUGCCUCAGGACCAGGAUUAGCCCAUCACUGAGAAAGCCAAUGGUCCCUGAGGGGAUUAGACAGACGAUCGAUGGUGGGAUUAGUUUGUGUGGUGGCUGUGGUGACAGCAGCGACCCAGAGCAGCAGCUCCACCCUGCCUGUGCUUGCACAGAGCCAACCCCUCCCCAACCCUGUGGUCUCUGGGAUGGUCCCUGAGCGGUGUCAGCCCAGUGAGGAGGGGCUGCUGCAGCCAGCACUGCCACAGAUGUUCUGUAUUUUGGAUUUCUCCCCCUUCCAGCCUUGUUAGUAUUGAAAUUAAAAGCAAGUGUUUGUGAAUUGGUA